Molecule: ribosomal RNA, 387 nt
Filed under: uncultured soil bacterium
Lineage: Bacteria
Description: bacterial SSU rRNA
Rfam family: Bacterial small subunit ribosomal RNA
Source: RNAcentral
AGAUUGAACGCUGGCGGCAGGCCUAACACAUGCAAGUCGAGCGGUAGAGAGGUGCUUGCAUCUCUUGAGAGCGGCGGACGGGUGAGUAAUGCCUAGGAAUCUGCCUAGUGGUGGGGGAUAACGUUCGGAAACGGACGCUAAUACCGCAUACGUCCUACGGGAGAAAGCGGGGGACCUUCGGGCCUCGCGCCAUUAGAUGAGCCUAGGUCGAUUAGCUAGUUGGUGAGGUAAUGGCUCACCAAGGCGACGAUCCGUAACUGGUCUGAGAGGAUGAUCAGUCACACUGGAACUGAGACACGGUCCAGACUCCUACGGGAGGCAGCAGUGGGAAUAUUGGACAGUGGGCGAAAGCCUGAUCCAGCCAUCGCCGCGUGUGUGAAGAAGUUC